AUGAGCAGCGACGAGUUACUUCAAGCUCAGCUGGAGCUCUACCACCACGGCCUCGCCUUCGUCAAGUCACUGGCGCUCAAGGCCGCCACGGACCUGCGCAUCCCCGACACCAUCCACCGCCGGGGCGGCGCCGCCACCUUGUCCGAGCUGGCCUCCGACACCGGGAUCCACCCCACGAAGCGCUCCAACCUCCGGCGGGUCAUGCGGGUGCUCACCACCACCGGGGUAUUCUCCAUUGUCCAAGGCAAAGGCAGCAACGACCACGCCGGUGAUGGCGCUGCGUAUUACAAGCUCACGCGGGUCUCCCGGCUCCUUGUCGAGAGAUCACCGCACAACCUGUCCCCGAUGGUGGGCACCAUCGUCAACACGUUAUGCUGGACCUCUCUCCUCAAAAUGCCAGAGUGGUUUACCCAAGGCCAAGAGGGAGAGUCGGCACAGUCGCACUCGCUCGUCCAGCUGGCCAACGGCUGCACGUUCUGGGACACCACCAAGGUCGAUGGCGGCUUGUUCAACGACGGCAUGGCCGCGGACAGCCGCAUCGCCAUGAAGGUCCUGUUGAAAGAGCACGGCGGAGCGUUCGGGGAAGUGAAAAGCUCGCUGGUGGACAUCGGCGGCAACCAUGGCGCUACCGCGUCGGCCGUGGCGAGAGCGUUCCCGCACCUCAAGUGCACCGUUCUGGACCUCGCACACGUUGUCGCCGCGGCUCCCGCCAGCGACAUUUUGACCUUCGUCGCCGGAAAUAUGUUCGAGUAUGUCCCACCUGCGGAUGCUGUUCUACUCAAGUGGAUUUUGCAUGACUGGAAACACGAAGAUUGCGUCAAGAUAAUGCGCCGGUGCAAGGAAGCGAUCCCAGCGAAAGAAGCCGGAGGAAAGGUGAUAAUUAUCGAUAUGGUGGUGGGAUAUCCGGUGACUCAGCCCAACGAUUCCAUAGAGGCGCAGGUUUUGUUAGAUAUCUACAUGAUGGGCUCCGAUGGAAUGGAGCGAGAGGAAAACGAGUGGAGCUUGAUUUUCUCCGAAGCCGGGUUCAGCGACUACAAGAUCACUCCAACCAAUGGGAUUCGAUCAAUUAUCGAAGUAUACCCUUAA
This 1086-nucleotide ribosomal RNA is filed under the name Triticum aestivum (bread wheat). RNAcentral's name for it is "partial small subunit ribosomal RNA". The record is from RNAcentral. Lineage: Eukaryota; Viridiplantae; Streptophyta; Magnoliopsida; Poales; Poaceae.